This is an RNA transcript of Capsicum annuum, 1844 nucleotides long. It is a transcript of the gene named fumarylacetoacetase, with no coding region annotated. The transcript is spliced from 14 exons. The record is from RefSeq and is a predicted model, not a curated record. Lineage: Eukaryota; Viridiplantae; Streptophyta; Magnoliopsida; Solanales; Solanaceae.
AACAAUAUCAUACUUCAUUUUUUUUUUUCUUUUCGAUGUUUAAUACUUUUAUUAAAAUCUGAUUCAUCUAAAUUGGCGCAACGCAUACACAAUCGAUCGCUACCAAUAAAAUCAUACUCCAUUCUCUUUUUCUUUUGAAUCUAAAUUCUCGCCACACAUGCACAUGUGGUCCUACCAAUUAAAUCGUACUCUCAACUAUAAAUUCUGUUAGCACUUUCCACUUUCACUGCAACACUCAAAGUGGAGUAGCUCCAAAACGUCACCGUUUACUCGUCGUCGUCGUCAUGGUACUGAAAUCGUUUGUUGAAGUUGAACCGGAGUCUCCUUUCCCUCUGGAGAACUUACCGUACGGUGUAUUUAAGACCGAUGAACCCGGUUCACUACCUCGACCGGGCGUCGCUAUCGGAAACUACGUUUUGGACUUAUCGGCGAUUGCUUCAGCCGGUUUAUUUAACGGUCCUUUACUCAGUAACUCCGAUUGUUUCAACCAGCCUAACUUGAACAAGUUUGUUGGAUUGGGCCGACCUGCAUGGAAGGAAGCUAGAGCGACAUUGCAAAAGCUGUUAUCAGCCACAGAACCAACUCUGCGUGACAAUGCUGAUUUAAGACCGUUAGCUCUUUUGCCUAUGGACAAGGUGCAAAUGCUUCUACCUGUUGCGAUUGGAGACUACACAGACUUCUUUUCGUCAAUGCAUCAUGCAAAGAAUUGUGGGACUAUUUUUCGUGGCCCUGAAAAUCCUGUCAACCGUAAUUGGUUCCAUCUUCCUAUUGCUUACCAUGGGCGAGCAUCAUCCAUUGUCAUUUCUGGAACAGAUAUCAUUAGACCCAGAGGACAAGGUCCUCCAACUGGUAAUGCUACGCCAUAUUUUGGACCUUCGAGAAAAUUGGAUUUUGAGUUAGAAAUGGCCGCUGUAGUUGGACCUGGUAAUGAGCUAGGAACGAUGGUCGAUGUCAAUGAGGCUGCAAAUCAUAUAUUUGGACUUGUCUUGAUGAAUGAUUGGAGUGCAAGAGAUAUCCAGGCAUGGGAGUACGUGCCUCUUGGUCCUUUUCUUGGAAAGAGCUUUGGCACAACCAUAUCUCCUUGGAUUGUUACUUUAGAUGCCUUAGAACCCUUUGCUUGUGAGGCCCCAAAGCAGAACCCUUCUCCAUCGUCAUAUCUUGUGGAGAAGACAUCAAGAAACUAUGACAUUUCCUUGGAGGUUCUCAUUAAACCUUCUGGACAAGCUGAUUCAUGUGUUGUGACAAGAAGCAACUUUAACCACUUAUAUUGGACAAUUACUCAACAGCUAGCUCACCAUACUAUCAAUGGGUGCAACCUAAGGCCUGGGGACCUGUUUGGAACUGGAACUAUCAGUGGACCAGUAAGAUUUACUAGUCAGCUGAACCAGAAUCGUAUGGAUGCUUGCUUGAAUUAACAUGGAAUGGACAAAAGCCUUUGUCAUUAGGUGGAACUACCCGUACAUUCUUAGAAGACGGAGAUGAAGUAACUUUCUAUGGUUAUUGCCAGGGCAAUGGAUACAAAGUUGGUUUCGGAAGCUGCUCCGGAAAGAUUGUCCCAUCUCCACUGUGAAUGUAAAUGACUACAUUCUCCAGCUCAUGACAGUAAUUCCAGGCUGCUUUAGUUUCUGAUCAAAAUUAGUAGUAGAAUCCCAGUUUAUGUAUAUUCAACAUUAUUGAACUGCAAACAAGUCCCAGUUUAUGUUGAAAUAUCGACAUUUAACUAAGUGAGGACUAGGUAGCUAUUAUAACGUUCAACAAAUCAUACUUCAUGUUUUAAUAUCGAACUUUAAGUUUUAUUUUAUGAGUGGAAAAUUUUUAUUGUGUAGUAGCAUACAAUAACAACA